This 848-nucleotide ribosomal RNA is filed under the name uncultured fungus. RNAcentral describes it as "eukaryotic LSU rRNA". It matches the Rfam family "Eukaryotic large subunit ribosomal RNA", at positions 75 to 909 of the family's 3401-position model. Lineage: Eukaryota; Fungi. The record is from RNAcentral.
UUCCCCCAGUAACGGCGAGUGAAGAGGGAAGAGCCCAAAUUUGUAAUCUGGCGGCUUGGGCCGUCCGAGUUGUAAUCUGGAGAGGCCACGUCCGCGCUGGACCGCGUGUAAGUCUGCUAAUAUGCAGCGUCAUAGAGGGUGUUAACCCCGUUUGUCACGCGGACUACCAGUGCAUUGCGACGGGCUUUCGAAGAGUCGAGUUGUUUGGGAAUGCAGCUCUAAAUGGGUGGUAAAUUCCAUCUAAGGCUAAAUAUAGGCGAGAGACCGAUAGCGAACAAGUACCGUGAGGGAAAGAUGAAAAGCACUUUGGAAAGAGAGUGAAAGAGUACGUGAAAUUGCUGAAAGGGAAACGAUUGAGGUCAGACCGUGCGUGGCCGGCUUCAGCCUUCCCUCGGGUUGGUGUAGUGUCGGGCCAGGCAGGCCAGCGUCGGUUUCUGGGUCCCGUAAAAGGGUGGAGGGAACGUAGCAGCUCCGGCUGUGUUAUAGCCCUCGACUGGAUGCGGAGCCGGGGACCGAGGACUGCAGCGCGCCCUUCGUGGCAGGGCUCUCGGGCCCGAUGCGCUUAGGACGCUGGCAUAAUGGCCUUAAACGACCCGUCUUGAAACACGGACCAAGGGUCUAACAUGCAUGCGAGUAUUUGGGUGUCAACCCGGGUCGGAAUGAAAGUGAACGUAGGUGGGAUCCGCAAGGAGCACCAUCGACCGUGUCCAGAGUCUUUGACGACGGAUCUGAGUUGGAGCAUGUAUGUCGGGACCCGAAAGAUGGUGAACUAUGCCUGAAUAGGGUGAAGCCAGAGGAAACUCUGGUGGAGGCUCGUAGCGGUUCUGACGUGCAAAUCGUUCGUCAAA